Molecule: ribosomal RNA, 494 nt
Filed under: uncultured bacterium
Lineage: Bacteria
Description: partial 16S ribosomal RNA
Rfam family: Bacterial small subunit ribosomal RNA
Source: RNAcentral
GACGAACGCUGGCGGCGCGCUUAACACAUGCAAGUCGAACGGAAAGGCCUGCUUUCCCUUGUGGAUUGCGGGUACUCGAGUGGCGAACGGGUGAGUAACACGUGAGUGAUCUGCCCCCAACUUGGGUAUAAGCCUGGGAAACUGGGUCUAAUUCCCGAUAGGACUGCAGGGUGGUGCCUGUGGUGGAAAACGAUUUUCUAGUGGUUGGGGAUGAGCUCGCGGCCUAUCAGCUUGUUGGUGGGGUAAUGGCCUACCAAGGCGGCGACGGGUAGCCGGCCUGAGAGGGGGGACGGCCACAUUGGGACUGGGAUACGGCCCAGACGCCUACGGGAGGCAGCAGUGGGGAAUAUUGCACAAUGGGCGGAAGCCUGAUGCAGCGACGCCGCGUGGGGGAUGACGGCCUUCGGGUUGUAAACUCCUUUCGACCGCGAGGAAGCCACCUGGUUGGAAGGGUGGUGACGGUAGUGGUAGAAGAAGCACCGGCUAACUACGUG